CAGGUACAGCGGGAAGCCACCUGGCGACGGGGAGCGGAACCCGAAAGCCUGUCUCAGUUCGGAUUGGAGUCUGCAACCCGACUCCAUGAAGCUGGAUUCGCUAGUAAUCGCGCAUCAGCCACGGCGCGGUGAAUACGUUCCCGGGCCUUGUACACACCGCCCGUCAAGCCAUGGAAGCCGGGGGUGCCUGAAGUGCGCUGCCGCAAGGAGCGCCCUAGGGUAAAACCGGUGACUGGGGCUAAGUCGUAACAAGGUAUC
This 258-nucleotide ribosomal RNA is filed under the name uncultured bacterium. Its description in RNAcentral is "partial 16S ribosomal RNA". It matches the Rfam family "Bacterial small subunit ribosomal RNA", at positions 1234 to 1500 of the family's 1533-position model. The record is from RNAcentral.